RNAcentral lists this ribosomal RNA (2794 nucleotides) under Klebsiella pneumoniae. RNAcentral describes it as "bacterial LSU rRNA". It matches the Rfam family "Bacterial large subunit ribosomal RNA". The record is from RNAcentral. Lineage: Bacteria; Pseudomonadati; Pseudomonadota; Gammaproteobacteria; Enterobacterales; Enterobacteriaceae.
UUAAGCGACUAAGCGUACACGGUGGAUGCCCUGGCAGUCAGAGGCGAUGAAGGACGUGCUAAUCUGCGAAAAGCGUCGGUAAGGUGAUAUGAACCGUUAUAACCGGCGAUGUCCGAAUGGGGAAACCCAGUGCAAUUCGUUGCACUAUCGUUAACUGAAUACAUAGGUUAACGAGGCGAACCGGGGGAACUGAAACAUCUAAGUACCCCGAGGAAAAGAAAUCAACCGAGAUUCCCCCAGUAGCGGCGAGCGAACGGGGAGCAGCCCAGAGUCUGAAUCAGCUUGUGUGUUAGUGGAACGGUCUGGAAAGUCCGACGGUACAGGGUGAUAGUCCCGUACACCAAAAUGCACAGGCUGUGAACUCGAAGAGUAGGGCGGGACACGUGGUAUCCUGUCUGAAUAUGGGGGGACCAUCCUCCAAGGCUAAAUACUCCUGACUGACCGAUAGUGAACCAGUACCGUGAGGGAAAGGCGAAAAGAACCCCGGCGAGGGGAGUGAAAAAGAACCUGAAACCGUGUACGUACAAGCAGUGGGAGCACCUUCGGGUGUGACUGCGUACCUUUUGUAUAAUGGGUCAGCGACUUAUAUUCUGUAGCAAGGUUAACCGUAUAGGGGAGCCGCAGGGAAACCGAGUCUUAACUGGGCGUUAAGUUGCAGGGUAUAGACCCGAAACCCGGUGAUCUAGCCAUGGGCAGGUUGAAGGUUGGGUAACACUAACUGGAGGACCGAACCGACUAAUGUUGAAAAAUUAGCGGAUGACUUGUGGCUGGGGGUGAAAGGCCAAUCAAACCGGGAGAUAGCUGGUUCUCCCCGAAAGCUAUUUAGGUAGCGCCUCGUGAAUUCAUCUUCGGGGGUAGAGCACUGUUUCGGCUAGGGGGUCAUCCCGACUUACCAACCCGAUGCAAACUACGAAUACCGAAGAAUGUUAUCACGGGAGACACACGGCGGGUGCUAACGUCCGUCGUGAAGAGGGAAACAACCCAGACCGCCAGCUAAGGUCCCAAAGUCAUGGUUAAGUGGGAAACGAUGUGGGAAGGCACAGACAGCCAGGAUGUUGGCUUAGAAGCAGCCAUCAUUUAAAGAAAGCGUAAUAGCUCACUGGUCGAGUCGGCCUGCGCGGAAGAUGUAACGGGGCUAAACCAUGCACCGAAGCUGCGGCAGCGACACUAUGUGUUGUUGGGUAGGGGAGCGUUCUGUAAGCCUGCGAAGGUGNUGCUGGAGGUAUCAGAAGUGCGAAUGCUGACAUAAGUAACGAUAAAGCGGGUGAAAAGCCCGCUCGCCGGAAGACCAAGGGUUCCUGUCCAACGUUAAUCGGGGCAGGGUGAGUCGACCCCUAAGGCGAGGCCGAAAGGCGUAGUCGAUGGGAAACAGGUUAAUAUUCCUGUACUUGGUGUUACUGCGAAGGGGGGACGGAGAAGGCUAUGUUAGCCGGGCGACGGUUGUCCCGGUUUAAGCAUGUAGGCUGGUUGUCCAGGCAAAUCCGGAUAAUCAAGGCUGAGGUGUGAUGACGAGGCACUACGGUGCUGAAGUAACAAAUGCCCUGCUUCCAGGAAAAGCCUCUAAGCAUCAGGUAACAUCAAAUCGUACCCCAAACCGACACAGGUGGUCAGGUAGAGAAUACCAAGGCGCUUGAGAGAACUCGGGUGAAGGAACUAGGCAAAAUGGUGCCGUAACUUCGGGAGAAGGCACGCUGGUGUGUAGGUGAAGNUGGAGCUGAGACCAGUCGAAGAUACCAGCUGGCUGCAACUGUUUAUUAAAAACACAGCACUGUGCAAACACGAAAGUGGACGUAUACGGUGUGACGCCUGCCCGGUGCCGGAAGGUUAAUUGAUGGGGUUAUCCGUAAGGAGAAGCUCUUGAUCGAAGCCCCGGUAAACGGCGGCCGUAACUAUAACGGUCCUAAGGUAGCGAAAUUCCUUGUCGGGUAAGUUCCGACCUGCACGAAUGGCGUAAUGAUGGCCAGGCUGUCUCCACCCGAGACUCAGUGAAAUUGAACUCGCUGUGAAGAUGCAGUGUACCCGCGGCAAGACGGAAAGACCCCGUGAACCUUUACUAUAGCUUGACACUGAACAUUGAGCCUUGAUGUGUAGGAUAGGUGGGAGGCUUUGAAGCGUGGACGCCAGUCUGCGUGGAGCCAACCUUGAAAUACCACCCUUUAAUGUUUGAUGUUCUAACGUUGGCCCCUGACCGGGGUUGCGGACAGUGUCUGGUGGGUAGUUUGACUGGGGCGGUCUCCUCCCAAAGCGUAACGGAGGAGCACGAAGGUUAGCUAAUCCUGGUCGGACAUCAGGAGGUUAGUGCAAUGGCAUAAGCUAGCUUGACUGCGAGCGUGACGGCGCGAGCAGGUGCGAAAGCAGGUCAUAGUGAUCCGGUGGUUCUGAAUGGAAGGGCCAUCGCUCAACGGAUAAAAGGUACUCCGGGGAUAACAGGCUGAUACCGCCCAAGAGUUCAUAUCGACGGCGGUGUUUGGCACCUCGAUGUCGGCUCAUCACAUCCUGGGGCUGAAGUAGGUCCCAAGGGUAUGGCUGUUCGCCAUUUAAAGUGGUACGCGAGCUGGGUUUAGAACGUCGUGAGACAGUUCGGUCCCUAUCUGCCGUGGGCGCUGGAGAAUUGAGGGGGGCUGCUCCUAGUACGAGAGGACCGGAGUGGACGCAUCACUGGUGUUCGGGUUGUCAUGCCAAUGGCACUGCCCGGUAGCUAAAUGCGGAAGAGAUAAGUGCUGAAAGCAUCUAAGCACGAAACUUGCCCCGAGAUGAGUUCUCCCUGAGACUUUAAGUCUCCUGAAGGAACGUU